AUGGCCGUCGUCAGUUCGUACUGUGAAGCAUCCUGUUAAGUCAGGCAACGAGCGAGACCCACGCCCACAGUUGCCAGCGUACUCUCCGGAGUGACGGGUACACUGUGGGGACCGCCGCUGCUAAAGCGGAGGAAGGAAUGGGCAACGGUAGGUCAGUAUGCCCCGAAUAUCCCGGGCUACACGCGAGCUACAAUGGUUGGUACAAUGGGUAUCUACCCCGAAAGGGGACGGGAAUCUCCUAAAACCAAUCUUAGUUCGGAUUGAGGGCUGCAACUCGCCCUCAUGAAGCUGGAAUCCGUAGUAAUCGCGUUUCAACAGAACGCGGUGAAUACGUCCCUGCUCCUU
RNAcentral lists this ribosomal RNA (345 nucleotides) under uncultured Methanosaeta sp. RNAcentral describes it as "bacterial SSU rRNA". It matches the Rfam family "Archaeal small subunit ribosomal RNA", at positions 994 to 1338 of the family's 1478-position model. The record is from RNAcentral. Lineage: Archaea; Methanobacteriati; Methanobacteriota; Methanomicrobia; Methanotrichales; Methanotrichaceae.